This 253-nucleotide ribosomal RNA is filed under the name uncultured bacterium. Its description in RNAcentral is "partial 16S ribosomal RNA". It matches the Rfam family "Archaeal small subunit ribosomal RNA", at positions 474 to 727 of the family's 1478-position model. The record is from RNAcentral.
UACCAGCACCCCGAGUGGUCGGGACGAUUAUUGGGCCUAAAGCAUCCGUAGCCGGUCCUACAAGUCCUCCGUUAAAUCCACCUGCUCAACAGAUGGGCUACGGAAGAUACUAUAGGGCUAGGAGGCGGGAGAGGCAAGCGGUACUCAGUGGGUAGGGGUAAAAUCCGUUGAUCCAUUGAAGACCACCAGUGGCGAAGGCGGCUUGCCAGAACGCGCUCGACGGUGAGGGAUGAAAGCUGGGGGAGCAAACCGG